UAGGGAAUAUUGGUCAAUGGAUGCAAGUCUGAACCAGCCAUGCCGCGUGCAGGAAGAAGGCCUUCUGGGUUGUAAACUGCUUUUGUCAGGGGAUAAAAUUUCCUUGCGAGGAAAAUUGAAGGUACCUGGCGAAUAAGCCACGGCUAACUACGUGCCAGCAGCCGCGGUAAUACGUAGGUGGCAAGCGUUGUCCGGAUUUAUUGGGUUUAAAGGGUGCGUAGGCGGCUUUAUAAGUCAGUGCUGAAAUAUCCCGGCUUAACCGGGAGGGUGGCAUUGAUACUGCAGAGCUUGAGUGAAGUCGAGGUAGGCGGAAUUGACGGUGUAGCGGUGAAAUGCUUAGAUAUCGUCAAGAACACCGAUAGUGAAGACAGCUUACUAGACUUCAACUGACGCUGAGGCACGAAAGUGUGGGGAUCAAACAG
This 422-nucleotide ribosomal RNA is filed under the name uncultured bacterium. RNAcentral describes it as "bacterial SSU rRNA". It matches the Rfam family "Bacterial small subunit ribosomal RNA", at positions 355 to 775 of the family's 1533-position model. The record is from RNAcentral.